Molecule: small RNA, 1640 nt
Filed under: uncultured bacterium
Lineage: Bacteria
Description: bacterial SSU rRNA
Rfam family: Bacterial small subunit ribosomal RNA (bases 1-1149)
Source: RNAcentral
AAUGGGCGAAAGCCUGACGGAGCAAUACCGCGUGAGGGAAGAAGGCUCUUGGGUUGUAAACCUCUUUUCUUAGGGAAGAAAAAAAUGACGGUACCUAAGGAAUAAGCAUCGGCUAACUCCGUGCCAGCAGCCGCGGUAAUACGGAGGAUGCAAGCGUUAUCCGGAAUGAUUGGGCGUAAAGCGUCCGCAGGUGGCAAGUCAAGUUUGCGGUUAAAGGCUCUGGCUCAACCAGAGACAGGCCGUGAAAACUGACUAGCUAGAGUAUGGUAGGGGCAGAGGGAAUUCCCAGUGUAGCGGUGAAAUGCGUAGAGAUUGGGAAGAACACCGGUGGCGAAAGCGCUCUGCUAGGCCAAAACUGACACUGAGGGACGAAAGCUAGGGGAGCGAAUGGGAUUAGAUACCCCAGUAGUCCUAGCCGUAAACGAUGGAUACUAGGUGUAGCUUGUAUCGACCCAAGCUGUGCCGUAGCUAACGCGUUAAGUAUCCCGCCUGGGGAGUACGCGCGCAAGCGUGAAACUCAAAGGAAUUGACGGGGGCCCGCACAAGCGGUGGAGUAUGUGGUUUAAUUCGAUGCAACGCGAAGAACCUUACCAGGACUUGACAUGUCGCGAAUCUUACUGAAAGGUAGGAGUGCCUUAGGGAGCGCGAACACAGGUGGUGCAUGGCUGUCGUCAGCUCGUGUCGUGAGAUGUUGGGUUAAGUCCCGCAACGAGCGCAACCCUCGUUUUUAGUUGCCAUCAUUAAGUUGGGCACUCUAGAGAGACUGCCGGUGACAAACCGGAGGAAGGUGGGGAUGACGUCAAGUCAGCAUGCCCCUUACGUUCUGGGCUACACACGUACUACAAUGCUACGGACAAAGGGUAGCAAGCAUGCGAAUGCAAGCCAAUCCCAUAAACCGUGGCUCAGUUCAGAUUGCAGGCUGCAACUCGCCUGCAUGAAGGCGGAAUCGCUAGUAAUCGCAGGUCAGCACUACUGCGGUGAAUACGUUCCCGGGCCUUGUACACACCGCCCGUCACACCAUGGAAGCUGGCUUAGCCCGAAGUCGUUACCCUAACCGAAAGGAGGGGGAUGCCGAAGGCAGGGCUGGUGACUGGGGUGAAGUCGUAACAAGGUAGCCGUACCGGAAGGUGUGGCUGGAUCACCUCCUUUAAGGGAGACCAAGCCCAUUAAUUACCGAAAGCAAUAAUUAAGUAUUAAUGAGGUCAACCUAGGUCGUGGCGAAGCAAGUGAGGCUUUUCAAUUAUAAUUAAGGUUUGGGGGCUAUUAGCUCAGGUGGUUAGAGCGCACCCCUGAUAAGGGUGAGGUCCCUGGUUCGAGUCCAGGAUAGCCCACCUAGAGAAAGCAGCUAGCAUCAAUGUCAAAUGUUAGUUGCAAAGUUCUUCGGGGACUUAACUUAGCUGGUAGAGUAACUGUUUUGUAAGCAGAACGUUAAAAGCUCGAGUCCACUAAUUUCAACCAAAAGAAACUAGCCAAAGAUAGACUUAGCACCAUGACCACUAACAGUAGUCAGAAUGCUGAGUUAUCACUCAGUCAGAACCUUGAAAACUGCAUAGAGAAAGCAAAUAGCAGGCAGAUCCAAUAGGGUAAAACCUAAAGUAUCUGACGAAAAAAACUGGUCAAGCUACAAAGGGCUAAUGGUG